GACGAACGCUGGCGGCGUGCUUAACACAUGCAAGUCGAACGGAAAGGCCCUGCUUUUGUGGGGUGCUCGAGUGGCGAACGGGUGAGUAACACGUGAGUAACCUGCCCUUGACUUUGGGAUAACUUCAGGAAACUGGGGCUAAUACCGGAUAGGAUCUCCUGCUGCAUGGUGGGGGUUGGAAAGUUUCGGCGGUUGGGGAUGGACUCGCGGCUUAUCAGCUUGUUGGUGUGGUAGUGGCUUACCAAGGCUUUGACGGGUAGCCGGCCUGAGAGGGUGACCGGCCACAUGGGGACUGAGAUAGGGCCCAGACGCCGACGGGAGGCAGUAGUGGGAAAUAUUGCACAAUGGGCGGAAGCCUGAUGCAGCAACGCCGCGUGCGGGAUGACGGCCUUCGGGUUGUAAACCGCUUUCGCCUGUGACGAAGCGUGAGUGACGGUAAUGGGUAAAGAAGCACCGGCUAACUACGUG
This 468-nucleotide ribosomal RNA is filed under the name uncultured bacterium. RNAcentral's name for it is "partial 16S ribosomal RNA". It matches the Rfam family "Bacterial small subunit ribosomal RNA", at positions 28 to 507 of the family's 1533-position model. The record is from RNAcentral.